GAUGAACGCUGGCGGCGUGCUUAACACAUGCAAGUCGAACGAUGAAGCCCAGCUUGCUGGGUGGAUUAGUGGCGAACGGGUGAGUAACACGUGAGUAACCUGCCCUUGACUCUGGGAUAAGCCCGGGAAACUGGGUCUAAUACCUGAUAGGAGCGCCUGUCGCAUGACGGGAGUUGGAAAGAUUUUUCGGUCAUGGAUGGACUCGCGGCCUAUCAGCUUGUUGGUGAGGUAAUGGCUCACCAAGGCGACGACGGGUAGCCGGCCUGAGAGGGUGACCGGCCACACUGGGACUGAGACACGGCCCAGACUCCUACGGGAGGCAGCAGUGGGGAAUAUUGCACAAUGGGCGGAAGCCUGAUGCAGCGACGCCGCGUGAGGGAUGACGGCCUUCGGGUUGUAAACCUCUUUCAGUAGGGAAGAAGCGAAAGUGACGGUACCUGCAGAAGAAGCACCGGCUAACUACGUG
This 466-nucleotide ribosomal RNA is filed under the name uncultured bacterium. RNAcentral describes it as "partial 16S ribosomal RNA". It matches the Rfam family "Bacterial small subunit ribosomal RNA", at positions 28 to 507 of the family's 1533-position model. The record is from RNAcentral.